GAUGAUGUGAGCCAGCAGACUCAUUCUCCUGCCUUCCCAUUCUUGAACUGUUCCUUCCUCCCCACCUCCCCCACUGUGAUGGACGGGAACCUCCAACCACAAGACGAAAACCAGAGGUGACAGCCUGACACUCCAUGAUGUCUGUGUACUGGAACCGUUCCCCAAACCCAGGCCAGCUGCAGCCCUCUCUGAUGUCCCCCUCCUGUGUGGCUGGAGGGGAACAAGCUGGGCCCUCCGUGGGAAGCAACAGCAGAUCUGUUCCUGGCGCGCGAUUCUUCGCACAUUUGUUUGAUCCCUGUCCAGGUCUCUCAGCCAUUUGCUUCUAAGCCGAGAGCGGAACGUAAAAGUAGUCCCAAGUGGCCGUUUUCAGGUCUUCAACAGACCUGGUUAGCCGCAGUUGGGAAAUCGUCCCCGGCCCCUCUGUGAAUUAUCACGUCAGUGAGUGGAGCUUCAGGGUGGUCGAGCCAUAGCUCCGGGCUCUUCCUCUGACAUCCAUCACUGCAGGUGUGGCUUAUUAAGAUGUUCUCCGCCUAAAGAACUCCAGUGCGGUGUCUUCCCAAAGGAGCACGGGAGAGAGGAGGCCUCUGGAGCUACCGACUGGAAACCACUUCUUCGCUCUACCAAGGAACCCUGGGUCCCAUCACCAGCCCGCGUCUACUCAACACUUACCCCUCCCUAUCGCUGCCCUCACAGCAAUCCAGGCCAUGUUAGGGAAUACCUUUUUUUCCUAACCUAACAUAUGAAGCUCCUGUUCAGGGACAAAGCGUCGCCUCGCCUGCCCCCCUCCAACCAGUUCCUCCUGCUGCCUGCCCUGAGCCUCUGGGCCAAGGGGAAGAUUAGAUUGCACAUGAAUAAGCAAUAUUCACUUGGCUCUGGAAGCCUGGAGUAAAAUCCCCUGAGCAGCGGUACACAGCAGUGCAGGAUUUCCCCGCUCCUUCUCUCCAUCACCUCUCUCGCUGCCCCCAGCUCCUAUUUCAUGUGAGGACCUUUCUCUGGGACGUUCUUGCCAGGGGUGCCUGUACUAGAAUACUCUCUUCAAAGCGUGGAAUUCACAACGGAAAGCAGAUCCUCUGAAGCCGUGACUCAAAUGGACGAUGAAGAGAGACGUGUGAAGGGAGGUGCCUCUCCUGCUGCUCCAUCUAUGGGGUGAAGGGAGAGGGAGUCGGGCCCUUUCUUUCCACCCUCUUCAGUGCCUUGGAUCCACUCACUGAUCCACCAUGUCACCCUUCCCUCCUGUAGAAGGGAAGCCUCUAGGGCAGUGAUUCCCAACCUUCCCAACACUGCGAUCCUUUAACACAGUUCCUCAGGCUGCGGUGACCCCCAACCAUAAAAUCACUUUCGUUGGUACUUCAUAACUGUCAUUUUGCUACUGGUAUGAAUCAUAAUAUAAGUAUCUGUAUUUCCCAACGGUCUUAGGUGACCCCUGCCAAAGGCUGUUCCACCUCCAAGGGGUCAUAACCCACAGGCUGAGAACCAUUGCUUUAGAGCAUAUUUUGAGAGCUGUCUACUCUGGGAAGAGCCUGCCCUUCAGGGAAGAAGGUCUGGAGAGGUCAAGUACCCUCAGGAAAGGGAAGGCCAGGACCAUGAGUUACCUGACCACGGUCAGUGCACCUGUGCAAAUCAAAUCCUGCUCCUCCAUUUGUAUAACUGACAAGUGGCUCUAUUGUGUUGAGCCUCACUUUACUUACUAUGGGAUGGAACAUAAGGGUCAUGAAUGUGAUGUUAAUCUCUAGUGUUCCAAACCACACUUCCAACAGUUUUAAACUGCAUUUACUCUUGUCCCCUUCAGAUGCCUGAACUCCCCCAGGUAGGCCAAAUUCCUACAGGAACCCCAGAUAUGGUCAAAGGAUGCAUGUUUUUUUAUGAGGAUGGUCUCAAGACUUCUCCUUGAUGAUUCCCUGGGCCUGGAAAACACCCGUUAACUUAGAGGUCUCUGGUUCAUGGCAGGGGCUCUAGUCAUAUCAUUUUCCUCAAGUGGAGGAGGAAAAGGAGGACGAAGGGAAGGAGAGAGAAGUCAGGGGGGCAACGGAGGGCCAAGCGAGAGUUCAUCACGAACCCAGUCUCUUCUGAGAACCUCUUCUGUGUCUCCCCCGCCCCUCCCAGCAGCUUCAUCCUUCCCUCCUGGGCAUUAGCGUUUUCUGUUGUUCCAGGUUCCUUAAACCUAGCAUCACGCUCAGCUCUCUCCUCUGGCUUGGUCCCUUUCCGCAUGUCCUCUGCUGGCUCGGAGACAUCCUCCUUGUGCCCUGCAGUUAGGUCUUCUCCUUCGCUCUCAGUCCUCACUGUAGUCCAAAGCUUUGCUCUCGCCCAGGAGUGAGGUCCUCCUGCCUCCGAUCCAUUUCACGGCCAUCUACUCUGUCAGCUGAUUCAGGUGGCUCCGCAGAGGCCACCCUCCUUCCCACUUCCCUUGUCCAUGACCCCCGUCACUCUGCCCAUCUCCACACCUUCCCUACACAGACCCUCUUUUAGCCUAGCCUCUCCCCUCUCUGCAUGGGGUGUGUAAACUUCCACCAUGAAGACCCUCACUCUGAGAGAGCAGCUGCCAAUCACAGGUGGUACUGAGCACAUAAAGUGUGGCCAAAGUCACUGAGGAUCCAAAUUUUGUUUUAUUUUAUUCAAAUUUGAAAAUGAAAGUAGUAUGGGCCCUCUUUUUGCAUUUGAUACUUCAUUGCUUAAUUCGAUAGUACUACAUUUUGCUUUAAUACAGGAGCACAUAAGACAUAACUGCUGCAUGGUAAUACGUGUCUCAGGUGUGUCAGGAGGAAGUGUCAUUUCUAAUAUUAAAAACAGAUCAAAAGUCACUCACUAUGUUGGUGUCAGUGGAUUGACUUGGAGUAAUUUUGUUCUAAGCACCAAUGUACUAGUGUGAUGUAAUUCUUCAAAUAUUUUAUGUCAAUAGCCUUGUUACAAUACCUGUCUCCUUUUAUUUUUAAUGUGUCUACUAGAACAUGUACAAUAAAAAUGUAGUUUGCAUUAUA
Molecule: long non-coding RNA, 2975 nt
Organism: Myodes glareolus (Bank vole)
Lineage: Eukaryota; Metazoa; Chordata; Mammalia; Rodentia; Cricetidae
Source: RefSeq, a predicted model, not a curated record